This 867-nucleotide ribosomal RNA is filed under the name Fuscoporia gilva. RNAcentral describes it as "eukaryotic LSU rRNA". It matches the Rfam family "Eukaryotic large subunit ribosomal RNA", at positions 66 to 915 of the family's 3401-position model. Lineage: Eukaryota; Fungi; Basidiomycota; Agaricomycetes; Hymenochaetales; Hymenochaetaceae. The record is from RNAcentral.
UAACAGGAUUCCCCUAGUAACUGCGAGUGAAGCGGGAAAAGCUCAAAUUUAAAAUCUGGCGGUUCUGCCGUCCGAGUUGUAAUCUGGAGAAGCGUUUUCUGUGCUGGACCGUGUACAAGUCUCUUGGAACAGAGCGUCAUAGAGGGUGAGAAUCCCGUCCAUGACACGGACGCCCAGUGCUAUGUGAUACGUUUUCAAAGAGUCGAGUUGUUUGGGAAUGCAGCUCAAAAUGGGUGGUAAGCUCCAUCUAAAGCUAAAUAUUGGCGAGAGACCGAUAGCGAACAAGUACCGUGAGGGAAAGAUGAAAAGCACUUUGGAAAGAGAGUUAAACAGUACGUGAAAUUGUUGAAAGGGAAACGCUUGAAGUUAGUCGCGUCUUACUUGACUCAGCCUUGCCUCGGCUUGGUGUAUUUCAUGUGAGACGGGUCAACAUCGAUUUUGACCGGCAGAGAAGGGGGGCGAGAAUGUGGCAUUCUUCGGAGUGUGUUAUAGCUUACUCUCAUAUGUGUCGGUUGGGAUCGAGGCCCGCAGCGCGCCCUUGUGGCCGGAGGUUCGCCUCACGUUACGCGCUUAGGAUGUUGGCAUAAUGGCUUUAAGCGACCCGUCUUGAAACACGGACCAAGGAGUCUAACAUGCUCGCGAGUGUUAGGGUGGAAAACCCUUGCGCAGAAUGAAAGUAAAAGUUGGGAACCUCCGCAAGGGGGCGCACCGACGCCCGGCCCAGAAGUUUACGGACGGUGCUGCGGUAGAGCGCGUAUGUUGGGACCCGAAAGAUGGUGAACUAUGCCUGAAUAGGGCGAAGCCAGGGGAAACCCUGUGUGGAGGCUCGUAGCGAUUCUGACGUGCAAAUCGAUCGUCAAAUUUGGG